AAAGGAGGGUACAUGGGGUACAUUAAGCCUUUAGAUUUAAGCUAGGGUGAGGUCUCUGAAUUAGGGGUGCAACUCCUGGAUGGAGCCUAAUGACAUUAGCUAACUCAAAUGGUAUUGUCCUUGUUCUAAGGAGCUUAGCAACAGGGCUGAGAAUGUUUUGCCAAGAGAAUGGAAGUUCUCGAUAGUAUUGGGGACUCUGAAAGAACAAAACAGGGGUGGAAGCUUCUGCUAGUCUAAGGGCAAGAGUCUUUCUCACUUUAUUGUUUUAUUAACUGAAUAAAGCCUGUAGGCUUUAAGUUAAGAAAGGCUGGCAGCAACCUAGCUGGGGGUUUCAGUUGAGCCAGAACCUGAAGGCAUACAAAGCAGUGUCUAGUAGAGAUAUAUCCGGCAGUAAGCACACCUGUCUGUCAGAGACCAUGUGACCAGUGUUAAUAAGAGCAGCAUGGUGGCAUCACUGGUGUUCCUACGGUUUAUGAGAUGAGAAGCUUUACAGCCAAGACAAUGAAGGGACCACGACAGGGAGAAGAGAGGCAGGAAGGAAAGAUAAUAAAUGCUUACUACUUGAAAAAAUAUCAAUGUGUUACAGGA
This is a non-coding RNA of Phascolarctos cinereus (koala), 588 nucleotides long. Lineage: Eukaryota; Metazoa; Chordata; Mammalia; Diprotodontia; Phascolarctidae. The record is from RefSeq and is a predicted model, not a curated record.